This 487-nucleotide ribosomal RNA is filed under the name Pantoea dispersa. RNAcentral's name for it is "bacterial SSU rRNA". It matches the Rfam family "Bacterial small subunit ribosomal RNA", at positions 253 to 731 of the family's 1533-position model. The record is from RNAcentral. Lineage: Bacteria; Pseudomonadati; Pseudomonadota; Gammaproteobacteria; Enterobacterales; Erwiniaceae.
CGGGGGAAUGGCCCACCUAGGCGACGAUCCCUAGCUGGUCUGAGAGGAUGACCAGCCACACUGGAACUGAGACAGGGUCAAAAUCCAUACCUAAGGCAGCAGUGGGGAAUAUUGCACAAUGGGCGCAAGCCUGAUGCAGCCAUGCCGCGUGUAUGAAGAAGGCCUUCGGGUUGUAAAGUACUUUCAGCGGGGAGGAAGGCGGUGCGGUUAAUAACCGCGCCGAUUGACGUUACCCGCAGAAGAAGCACCGGCUAACUCCGUGCCAGCAGCCGCGGUAAUACGGAGGGUGCAAGCGUUAAUCGGAAUUACUGGGCGUAAAGCGCACGCAGGCGGUCUGUUAAGUCAGAUGUGAAAUCCCCGGGCUUAACCUGGGGAACUGCAUUUGAAACUGGCAGGCUUGAGUCUCGUAGAGGGGGGUAGAAUUCUAGGUGUAGCGGUGAAAUGCGUAGAGAUCUGGAGGAAUACCGGUGGCGAAGGCGGCCCCCUG